AAUCUGCCGAGAAGUGGGGGAUAGCUUGCCGAAAGGCAAAUCAAUACCGCAUGUGAUAGCAAUAUUAAAGUCGGGGUAACCUGACGCUUCUUGAUGAGCUCGCGGCCUAUCAGCUUGUUGGCGGGGUAACGGCCCACCAAGGCUAUGACGGGUAGCUGGUCUGAGAGGACGACCAGUCACACUGGAACUGAGACACGGUCCAGACACCUACGGGUGGCAGCAGUCGAGAAUUUUUCUCAAUAGGGGAAACCCUGAAGGAGCGACGCCGCGUGGAG
RNAcentral lists this ribosomal RNA (275 nucleotides) under uncultured bacterium. Its description in RNAcentral is "partial 16S ribosomal RNA". It matches the Rfam family "Bacterial small subunit ribosomal RNA", at positions 123 to 406 of the family's 1533-position model. The record is from RNAcentral.